RNAcentral lists this ribosomal RNA (429 nucleotides) under Chloroflexota bacterium. RNAcentral describes it as "Chloroflexi bacterium partial 16S ribosomal RNA". It matches the Rfam family "Bacterial small subunit ribosomal RNA", at positions 355 to 776 of the family's 1533-position model. Lineage: Bacteria; Bacillati; Chloroflexota. The record is from RNAcentral.
UGGGGAAUAUUGCACAAUGGGCGCAAGCCUGAUGCAGCCAUGUCGCGUGUAUGAAGAAGGCCUUCGGGUUGUAAAGUACUUUCAGCGGGGAGGAAGGGAGUAAAGUUAAUACCUUUGCUCAUUGACGUUACCCGCAGAAGAAGCACCGGCUAACUCCGUGCCAGCAGCCGCGGUAAUACGGAGGGUGCAAGCGUUAAUCGGAAUUACUGGGCGUAAAGCGCACGCAGGCGGUCUGUCAAGUCGGAUGUGAAAUCCCCGGGCUCAACCUGGGAACUGCAUUCGAAACUGGCAGGCUAGAGUCUUGUAGAGGGGGGUAGAAUUCCAGGUGUAGCGGUGAAAUGCGUAGAGAUCUGGAGGAAUACCGGUGGCGAAGGCGGCCCCCUGGACAAAGACUGACGCUCAGGUGCGAAAGCGUGGGGAGCAAACAGG